GGCGGACGGGUGAGUAACGCGUGGGUAACCUGCCCUAUACAGGAGGAUAGCAGUUGGAAACGACUAUUAAUACUCCAUAAGCACACACUGCCGCAUGGUAGAGUGUGAAAAGAUUUAUCGGUAUAGGAUGGACCCGCGUUUGAUUAGCUAGUUGGUGAGGUAAUGGCUCACCAAGGCGACGAUCAAUAGCCGACCUGAGAGGGUGAUCGGCCACACUGGGACUGAGACACGGCCCAGACUCC
This 242-nucleotide ribosomal RNA is filed under the name uncultured bacterium. RNAcentral's name for it is "partial 16S ribosomal RNA". It matches the Rfam family "Bacterial small subunit ribosomal RNA", at positions 97 to 339 of the family's 1533-position model. The record is from RNAcentral.